This 405-nucleotide unclassified non-coding RNA is filed under the name soil metagenome. RNAcentral describes it as "partial contains 5.8S ribosomal RNA, internal transcribed spacer 2, and large subunit ribosomal RNA". The stretch from base 1 to 121 matches the Rfam family "5.8S ribosomal RNA", at positions 35 to 154 of the family's 154-position model. The record is from RNAcentral.
GAUGAAGAACGUAGCGAAAUGCGAUAAGUAAUGUGAAUUGCAGAAUUCAGUGAAUCAUCGAAUCUUUGAACGCACCUUGCGCCCUUUGGCCAUUCCGAAGGGCAUGCCUGUUUGAGUAUCAUGAACACCUCAACUCUUCAUGGUUUUCCGUGAUGAGCUUGGACUUUGGGGGUCUUGCUGGCCUAUGGUCAGCUCCUCUAAAAUAAAUCAGCUUGCCAGUGUUUGGUGGGUAUCACAGGUGUGAUAACUAUCUACGCUUGUGGUUUUUCCACCAGGUAACCUUCAGCAGUGGAGGUUCGCUGGAGCUCAUAGAUGUCUCUCCUCAGUGAGGACAGCCCUUUGAAUGUUUGAUCUCAAAUCAGGUAGGACUACCCGCUGAACUUAAGCAUAUCAAUAAGCGGAGGA